GCGGAGCAUUGCCCGUGAGAAACCAGAUCUCGAUCUACUCCUCCGGUCGCUGCACCUCAGCUUUGCAGUGAGCAUGGCAAAAGCAAAGGGUAAGGAGAAGCCUGCUGCUUCCACUGUUCCAGAAGAAGUGGAGGAGGCGGCUGUUGAUGAUGUUACCAUUGAACCGACUCCUGAACCUGUGAAGAUGGAAGUAGAAGAGGACACUGUUGAUGAGGAACCAGAGGAGCCUGAGGAAGUUGAAGAGUUAGAUGAACCUGAUAAGGAAAAAGAGGUGAAUGAAGAUGUCACACCUGAAGCUGCAGUGACCACUGCUACUCCUGCAACUGAAAAGGCGGUGGAAGGUGAUGCAAAGGAAGACGCCAAAGGUGAUGAAGAUGAAAAGGCUCCUUCCAAAAAGAAGGUUCAAAGGUCUAAGAAGAGGAAGAGACCAGCAAAGGCUGGUACUUCUACUGGUGCUGCUGAUAAGGCUGAAGCUUCAGAUCCAGAGAAGAAGGGCCUUAAGAAGGCUGAGGGCAUGGGGUUGAUAUUCAUGUGCAAUGCUAAGACCAAAGAGGACUGUUUCAAGUACAAGAUUUUUGGUCUCCCUGAAAGCAAAAAAGAUUUGGUAGCACAAAUAUACAAGGGUAUGAGGUUGUUUCUUUAUGACAUUGAUCUUAAGGAAAUGCAUGGUAUUUACAAAGCUGCUGGUCCUGGUGGUUACAAUAUUGAGCCGGAGGCAUUCAAUUCAGCAUUUCCUUCUCAGGUUCGUUUCCAUGUUCUCAAGGAGUGCCAGCCACUGUCCCAAGAGAAAUUUAAACCAGCAAUUAAAGCCAAUUACUUUGGGAGAAACAAGUUCAAUACCCAGCUGUCCAAGGAACAGGUUGGCGACUUGUGUAAGAUUUUUACAGGUGACAAUAAGUCACCAAAGGAGAAGCCUGUUACCGGAACAGGUAAAGUGGUGAAAUCUGCUGGACGUGAUAAUAGGACUGGGAAAGCACCAAAUUCUGCUGGC
This 991-nucleotide unclassified non-coding RNA is filed under the name Hevea brasiliensis (rubber tree). Lineage: Eukaryota; Viridiplantae; Streptophyta; Magnoliopsida; Malpighiales; Euphorbiaceae. The record is from RNAcentral.